UAUUAGUUUGUAGCUCAAACGGUUCGGACGCUACAGACAGAAGUUGGCACAUCGGCAUUACCGAAUUCAAACGAGUACGGUGACACUUGUGUGGGGCAGAGAACAACAUCGUGAGAGUCUCCCCUUUCCAUAGCGUGGUCAUAAUAAUUAUUGGGAAGCCCUACCCCCAUUGAAGUUUACAUUUAAAAUGGUUAAGGUAAGGGUUAUGGGUAGUGGUUUAGGGUAAGGACGUCCCAAGGAUCUUUGAAAAAAGAAGAAGAAUAAAGAAGAGGGGUAACCAUGACAACGAUCACACCAGGUGAUUUAAAAAUGGAGAAGGGAGAAAGGGCAGGCUUUUUCAGUGCUGCAGAGCAGCAAGUUAUACUUCAGCGGUUUGACGACCUAAAACAUAUUUUCUAUCACAAAAAUAAUACAACUGCUGCUGGAAAAGCUAGACGGGAAGCAUGGCAGAAAAUUGCCGAUUCAGUCAACGCGGUUAAUCCAUCUGGAGUAAAACGAAGUUGGCUGCAGGUCAAGGUGAAAUAUAAGAAUAUGGUACAAACAGCCAAAAAAGCAGAGAGGCAGAUGACCAGGGAAGGCCCACUGCAACCUGGCUUUUCUGCUGCAGAAGAACUGAUGGAUGAAACCCAAAAGUUCUGUUACACUAUAGACUGUAUGACAGCAGAAACCUCAUCCACAAAGCUCGAGUCAACACGCUCCAGCUCAAACUUUGUGAGAGUGCUAGAAAACCACAUGACAUCAGAGGAGACAGCAGCAGAAUCUGGGUCUGAAAUGUAUUUGAAUAAUGUACCAGUCGUAUACAUUGACAAUGCAGAAGAAAUCACGUCAGAAUCCUCUACACAGGAGGAGGGGGACAAACCAAGAAAGCCCUCAAGUGUCAAUGUGAAGGACUUGUAUAUGAAAUACUUGCAACAGGAGAUCAACUACAGGAAAUUAAAGAUGCAAAAGAUGACCUUGGAGAUGGAAUUACUUGAGAAACAAUUAAAUUGCCUCGUUGAAGCAGCUCUCUGGGCCUGGUUUAGGAUACAGGUAUGACGUCAUCAUGAAUGGAAGACGGGGAUACUCAUUGUCAGACACAAGACGGCCAUCAAAACAACCUGAAAAGUAGGGGAGGCACUACAAAAAGCUUGCCCAGCUGUCCAGAGUGGAUGCAGCUGAUGUGCAUGGAGAAAAAGACCUCAGCUUGACGCCACAAGAGGAUGGUAUGGUGGAAGUGAGAGUGGCGGAAGCAGACCAGGUCGAAGGUGAACACAGUGAAGGUGGACGCAGUGAAGGGGUGAGUGACCUGCAUCAAGACAGAUUUGACUCCCCAUUAACAGACUGACCUUAAAAAUGUUUUAGGUUUUCUGUGGAGGAGGAAGAUUUUGGAUGCAUUAACAUUGUUCAGCACAGGAUCUUGACUGGGGAAGCCCCUCCCACCCGAGAGCAGUUCCGCCCACUGCCCAUGAUGUACAAGGAGAUGAAGACCCUGCUUCAGGUA
This is an RNA transcript of Coregonus clupeaformis (lake whitefish), 1480 nucleotides long. RefSeq lists it as uncharacterized. The record is from RefSeq and is a predicted model, not a curated record. NCBI's taxonomy places the organism in Eukaryota, Metazoa, Chordata, Actinopteri, Salmoniformes, Salmonidae. The transcript is spliced from 8 exons.